This 500-nucleotide ribosomal RNA is filed under the name Coleonyx nemoralis. Its description in RNAcentral is "Coleonyx elegans nemoralis partial large subunit ribosomal RNA". It matches the Rfam family "Bacterial large subunit ribosomal RNA", at positions 1914 to 2597 of the family's 2925-position model. The record is from RNAcentral. Lineage: Eukaryota; Metazoa; Chordata; Lepidosauria; Squamata; Eublepharidae.
GAAACUUUUAACGGCCGCGGUAUCCUAACCGUGCAAAGGUAGCGUAAUCACUUGUCUUCUAAAUAAAGACUCGUAUGAACGGCUAAAUGAGGACCUAACUGUCUCUUACGACCAAUUAAUGAAACUGAUCUUUCAGUCCAAAAGCUGAAAUACAAACAUAAGACGAGAAGACCCUGUGGAGCUUUAACCAAGAUACUAUACCCACCACAUAUAUCUACACCAGUAAUAGUACCUCGUUUAAGUUGGGGCAACUAUGGAAAAAGAAAAACUUCCACAUUACCCUAGGGCAAACCCCCCUACCCCCCCAGACCCACCUGUCAAACACUAAGCACAUCGACCCAGUCCCACUGAUCAAUGAACCAAGUUACCCCAGGGAUAACAGCGCAAUCCCCUUUCAGAGUCCCUAUCGCCAAGGGGGCUUACGACCUCGAUGUUGGAUCAGGACACCCAAAUAGUGCAACAGCUAUUAAUGGUUCGUUUGUUCAACGAUUAACAGUCCU